This 305-nucleotide ribosomal RNA is filed under the name uncultured bacterium. RNAcentral describes it as "bacterial SSU rRNA". It matches the Rfam family "Bacterial small subunit ribosomal RNA", at positions 337 to 638 of the family's 1533-position model. The record is from RNAcentral.
ACCUACGGGGGGCAGCAGUGAGGAAUAUUGGUCAAUGGGCGGAAGCCUGAACCAGCCAAGUCGCGUGGGGGAAUAAGGCCCUACGGGUCGUAAACCUCUUUUGCCGGGGAGCAAGGGCCGGGACGCGUCCCGGCCCGGAGAGUACCCGGAGAAAAAGCAUCGGCUAACUCCGUGCCAGCAGCCGCGGUAAUACGGAGGAUGCGCGCGUUAUCCGGAUUUAUUGGGUUUAAAGGGAGCGUAGAUGGGUUGUUAAGUCAGUCGUGAAAGUUUGCGGCUCAACCGUAAAAUUGCAAUUGAUACUGGCA